RNAcentral lists this ribosomal RNA (253 nucleotides) under uncultured bacterium. Its description in RNAcentral is "partial 16S ribosomal RNA". It matches the Rfam family "Bacterial small subunit ribosomal RNA", at positions 524 to 776 of the family's 1533-position model. The record is from RNAcentral.
UACGGAGGGGGCUAGCGUUGUUCGGAUUUACUGGGCGUAAAGCGCACGUAGGCGGAUUGUUAAGUCGGGGGUGAAAUCCUGGAGCUCAACUUCAGAAUUGCCUUCGAUACUGGCUUUCUAGAGGCUGGAAGAGGUUAGUGGAAUUCCCAGUGUAGAGGUGAAAUUCGUAGAUAUUGGGAAGAACACCAGUGGCGAAGGCGGCUAACUGGUCCAGAUCUGACGCUGAGGUGCGAAAGCGUGGGGAGCAAACAGG